RNAcentral lists this ribosomal RNA (612 nucleotides) under uncultured fungus. RNAcentral's name for it is "eukaryotic LSU rRNA". The stretch from base 213 to 366 matches the Rfam family "5.8S ribosomal RNA". Lineage: Eukaryota; Fungi. The record is from RNAcentral.
GGUCAUUUAGAGGAAGUAAAAGUCGUAACAAGGUUUCCGUAGGUGAACCUGCGGAAGGAUCAUUACAGAGUUCAUGCCCGAAAGGGUAGACCUCCCACCCUUGUGUAUUAUUACUUUGUUGCUUUGGCGAGCUGCCUUCGGGCCUUGUAUGCUCGCCAGAGAAUACCAAAACUCUUUUUAUUAAUGUCGUCUGAGUACUAUAUAAUAGUUAAAACUUUCAACAACGGAUCUCUUGGCUCUGGCAUCGAUGAAGAACGCAGCGAAAUGCGAUAAGUAAUGUGAAUUGCAGAAUUCAGUGAAUCAUCGAAUCUUUGAACGCACAUUGCGCCCCUUGGUAUUCCGAGGGGCAUGCCUAUUCGAGCGUCAUUAUCACCCCUCAAGCGUAGCUUGGUGUUGAGGCCUGCUGUCAAGGCAGCCUCUAAAAUCAGUGGCAGUGCUGUCAGGCUCUAAGCGUAGUAAAAUUCAUCGCUAUAGACACCUGGUGGACACUCGCCAGAACCCCCCCAUUUUUUAAUGAUUGACCUCGGAUUAGGUAGGGAUACCCGCUGAACUUAAGCAUAUCAAUAAGCGGAGGAAAAGAAACCAACAGGGAUUGCCCCAGUAACGGCGAAU